RNAcentral lists this ribosomal RNA (310 nucleotides) under Escherichia coli. RNAcentral describes it as "partial 23S ribosomal RNA". It matches the Rfam family "Bacterial large subunit ribosomal RNA", at positions 1439 to 1751 of the family's 2925-position model. Lineage: Bacteria; Pseudomonadati; Pseudomonadota; Gammaproteobacteria; Enterobacterales; Enterobacteriaceae. The record is from RNAcentral.
CUGUACUUGGUGUUACUGCGAAGGGGGGACGGAGAAGGCUAUGUUGGCCGGGCGACGGUUGUCCCGGUUUAAGCGUGUAGGCUGGUUUUCCAGGCAAAUCCGGAAAAUCAAGGCUGAGGCGUGAUGACGAGGCACUACGGUGCUGAAGCAACAAAUGCCCUGCUUCCAGGAAAAGCCUCUAAGCAUCAGGUAACAUCAAAUCGUACCCCAAACCGACACAGGUGGUCAGGUAGAGAAUACCAAGGCGCUUGAGAGAACUCGGGUGAAGGAACUAGGCAAAAUGGUGCCGUAACUUCGGGAGAAGGCACGC